CAGCCGCCGCGGUAAAACCAGUACCUCAAGUGGUCAGGAUGAUUAUUGGGCCUAAAGCAUCCGUAGCCUGCUUUGUUAGUUUUCGGUUAAAUCCAUACGCUUAACGUAUGGGCUGCCGGGAAUACUGCAAAGCUAGGGAGUGGGAGAGGUAGACGGUACUCGGUAGGAAGGGGUAAAAUCCUUUGAUCUAUUGAUGACCACCUGUGGCGAAGGCGGUCUACCAGAACACGUCCGACGGUGAGGGAUGAAAGCUGGGGGAGCAAACCGUAUUAGAUACCCGGGUAGUCCCAGCUGUAAACUAUGCAAACUCAGUGAUGCAUUGACUUGUGGUCAAUGCAGUGCUGCAGGGAAGCCGUUAAGUUUGCCGCCUGGGAAGUACGUACGCAAGUAUGAAACUUAAAGGAAUUGGCGGGGGAGCAC
This 420-nucleotide ribosomal RNA is filed under the name uncultured Nitrososphaerota archaeon. RNAcentral's name for it is "bacterial SSU rRNA". It matches the Rfam family "Archaeal small subunit ribosomal RNA", at positions 459 to 879 of the family's 1478-position model. Lineage: Archaea; Thermoproteati; Nitrososphaerota. The record is from RNAcentral.